GUAGUUUAUUUUAUUUUUCCUCUCUCACGUCUUCAUGAGCUCCCGGCGCUCCGGGGAUUGUUUUUCCAUUUCCUUCAUGCUGUGGGGAUACUGCGGUGCAAUAUUUUUCCUCUUCUUGUUUUGUUUUUUGCUUGGUUGGUGUGUUGCGGUGCAACACUGCUUUGCCUUCUUGUUCUUGGUUUACCUGAUCUUCUUGGGUUCUUGGGUUUUCUUGAUCUUCAUCAAGUGGCAUUCUAGAGUUAAUUUUUUUGUGUUCGGGCCUGCGAAGUGUAGAUGCGGUCAGCUUGUUUCAUAGAGGCACUGAUCGUCAUCGAGUACGUGGAGUGUGGCUCACCUUUCGCGGUUCAAUUUGUCGUCAACUACAACAGUUGGGCGGAGAGAGGCCACAUUCCGUUUUGUUCCUGUUGUUAUUAUUUUUUUUAUUCCUCCGAGGUACCGAGGGGUGCAACGGCGCCUUCAUCUUAGUUGUUGUGGUGACGGCGGCAUUGUUGCUGGGAUCCAGUGCAACAACAAUCUAUUGGAGCGGAGCUAGGAUUUGGGAUUGGUUGUUCUCUUGGCAUUGCUAGCACAUUGUUCGUGGAAAAGGACCAAGUGACACUAGCUUCAAAGGUGGCAGCAUUGCGGUGGUUUUUUAUUCUUUUUGGUCGUCUCUUCAAUUCAAAGCUUCGCAAUUUCAGAGCUCCAGAUUCAAUGUGGCAGUGCCGCGGUUGAUAAAUUCUCCUCUAUGUAUUAUGCUGAGCUUUGAUUGUUACGGUGUCCCUAGUGUAUGUCCCUAGGAUGUGUCGCUGCAAUUGCUUUUGUUUUGUAGAUUGUUGAUGUUUUUUUCUUUUGAUUCUGUUGUCGUUUGAUACCUGAUCUUAGUGUGUAAAAUGUCGGUGGUUGUGUUCUUGUUUUGGAGCUGCAUCAAAGGGGGUUGUAUUGCUGUCGACCUCGUAGUGAGGUAGAUGCGGAGUUGGUGGUUUGCAAAGCAGCAGGGAUCCAUUUCGGCACUAGUUCUUGUCUUCAUAUCCUUGUUCUACUUCAACGGCACCAGGUCCGUAUUUUGCGGUGGCACUGCUAGAGCAGCAUUGAGAAGGCAUCAUGGUGCAGAGCUGUGGAGGGAAGAGGGCAUCUAGGCGCUUGUGCAUAUUUGUGCGUAUUGGGUGAUUGCGCAUCUAAUUCGGUGGAUUUGAAUUUUUUUUCCCUUGCCGGACGUAAUUGGUAUCCUGAACGUGGUUGAGUGCGGAGUUCUGGCCUAGUACAGUUGGAAGAAUGUCGAAUCGGUUGCGCAAUAUAACCUAUUGAGGAUCGUAGGAGCGACAAGCUACCGUCCUUGCCGUCGUUUCUUUGAGAAGAAAUGUUUAGCAAAUCUAAGGGUGAUGAUGUGGACCAAUUCCAUUUAUUAUUGAGAUCACCAAGGCCAGUAUAGAGAGGGCAAUCGUAGCGUAUCAAUGCAAUUGUAUUGAUUAAAUAAAAGAAGAGCUUAGAAGAAGAGAUUGAGAAUCCCCCUGAUAACAGAUUAGAGUUGCGCCAUGCCAACAAGUUCACUAUUGUGGAGGUGUGGAAAAUCCCCAACUUAUUGCAGGAACUAGUCGCAAGCCACACCAUCGACCCUCUCUGUAAGUACUCAAGCAAUUAGGUAGAUGAAUUAGACUACAUGAAGUUAGGUUAAUCGGAUAAAUUAGAAUUAGGGUUGAAUUAGGUUAGUUGGAUGAACCAUCAAAAUUGAAUAAAUAUUUUUUAAAAUUGGAUGAAUUAUUAUUGAA
This is a non-coding RNA of Physcomitrium patens, 1745 nucleotides long. The record is from RefSeq and is a predicted model, not a curated record. Lineage: Eukaryota; Viridiplantae; Streptophyta; Bryopsida; Funariales; Funariaceae.